This is a non-coding RNA of Ceratotherium simum simum (southern white rhinoceros), 321 nucleotides long. The record is from RefSeq and is a predicted model, not a curated record. NCBI's taxonomy places the organism in Eukaryota, Metazoa, Chordata, Mammalia, Perissodactyla, Rhinocerotidae.
UGCAAGAUCAAGAGUUGGAACUAGAUCUCUUUUAUCAUCACUGCUAGACUAGACUACAAAAAGCCAUCUACCAAAAGGAAAAUGAGAAGGACACUGCCUAUCUAGGGUUGGCCUCUGGAAGGCAAAACAUUCUCCCUUGAGAAUCCACAUCCUGCUCUCAGAUGAGGUAUCCCAUAAUUUACCCUGCAUUAUUGAGGUGAUAGCCAGGUGUCAGGUGGUUCUUUACACUGGGGAUGGAAGGCUCAGUUCCAUCUGGUGAGGUUUCACAAGAGAGUAUCAGCCGUAAGUGCCAUGUUCUAGUGGGAGAGUGGUAGCUGCAGA